GAUGAACGCUCGCGGCAGGCCUAAUACAUGCAAGUCGAACGAGAUUACGAGGCUUGCUUCUUAUGAAAGUGGCGCACGGGUGCGUAACGCGUAUGCAACCUACCUUAAUCAGGGGGAUAGCCCGAAGAAAUUCGGAUUAAGACCGCAUAAAAACACAGGAUAGCAUUAUCCAAUGUUCAAAUAUUUAUCGGAUUAAGAUGGGCAUGCGUGUCAUUAGCUAGUUGGCGGGGUAACGGCCCACCAAGGCGACGAUGACUAGGGGAUCUGAGAGGAUGACCCCCCACACUGGUACUGAGACACGGACCAGACUCCUACGGGAGGCAGCAGUAAGGAAUAUUGGUCAAUGGAGGGAACUCUGAACCAGCCAUGCCGCGUGCAGGAAGACAGCCCUCUGGGUCGUAAACUGCUUUUAUUCGGGAAUAAACCUUUCUACGUGUAGGAAGCUGAAUGUACCGAAGGAAUAAGGAUCGGCUAACUCCGUG
Molecule: ribosomal RNA, 482 nt
Filed under: uncultured bacterium
Lineage: Bacteria
Description: partial 16S ribosomal RNA
Rfam family: Bacterial small subunit ribosomal RNA
Source: RNAcentral